Molecule: long non-coding RNA, 532 nt
Organism: Manihot esculenta (cassava)
Lineage: Eukaryota; Viridiplantae; Streptophyta; Magnoliopsida; Malpighiales; Euphorbiaceae
Exons: 2
Source: RefSeq, a predicted model, not a curated record
CUAUAUUUCUCAUGUAUAGAUGACAGUUCAUGACUGUUAGAGAGGAGGAAGGUGCCUUUCCACCACCCAUAAUAAAUUGGGACAGAUAGGGAGACAUUGUAAAGAAUACCCAAUUUAAUGUGCUUAUUUUUUAUGCAAUUUCAAGAUUGUCUCUUGUGCUUGUUCAAACACAUAACCCAGAAAUGAAAGCACCAGCACCACAAGAGAUGUCGUAUUAUGAUCAUGUCAAGAAACGCCAUGAACAGAAAGGCUGCCCCUACGCCUUUUUCUUCACUCUAUGCUGCUGCUUUUGCUGCUAUGAGGGCUGCGACUGCUGCUGCUGCUGCGCUCGUCGAAGAGCUGGUUGAAUUGAGAAACAAAACUGAAGGUUUUGCUGUUUAGUUUUAAGUUAUUAUCAUUUGUGAAUUGCUAUUGAAGAAUUCUUCUCAUAAGCGGCCGAUUGUCCAGUAGAUUUCAUCUGUCUGAGAUUGCUUCUGCUCCUUGUACUGCUGUUGUUGCUAUGUUUUUAAGAAAUUAAGAGUUUUCUUCUCCA